ACAAAAUAAAAAGGUAAAAUAAUCAAUUUAUUUCAAAAGAGAACCCAGAUGAAAAAUAACUUGCAACUUAUUUCAACGACUCUGUAAUUCAACAUCAAAGCAUUAGAAGCCAAAAACAUUAAAUAUCAUAAUCCAAAUAAAGAUUGUUGCUCUGCAGAAGAACGAAAAAAAAAAUAGCAAAAGAGAACUCACAGCCCAGUAAUGU
RNAcentral lists this unclassified non-coding RNA (205 nucleotides) under Hevea brasiliensis (rubber tree). The record is from RNAcentral. Lineage: Eukaryota; Viridiplantae; Streptophyta; Magnoliopsida; Malpighiales; Euphorbiaceae.